Molecule: ribosomal RNA, 495 nt
Filed under: uncultured bacterium
Lineage: Bacteria
Description: bacterial SSU rRNA
Rfam family: Bacterial small subunit ribosomal RNA
Source: RNAcentral
GACGAACGCUGGCGGCGUGCUUAACACAUGCAAGUCGAGCGGUAAGGCCCCUUCGGGGGUACACGAGCGGCGAACGGGUGAGUAACACGUGGGUGACCUGCCCUCAGCUCUGGGAUAAGCCUGGGAAACUGGGUCUAAUACCGGAUAUGACUCCAUGACGCAUGUCGUGGGGUGGAAAGCCUUGUGCGGCUGGGGAUGGGCCCGCGGCCUAUCAGCUUGUUGGUGGGGNGAUGGCCUACCAAGGCGACGACGGGUAGCCGGCCUGAGAGGGCGGUCGGUCACACUGACACUGACAUACGGGUCAGACUCCUACGGGAGGCAGCAGUCGGAAUUUUGGGCAAUGGGCGAAAGCCUGACCCAGCAACGCCGCGUGAAGGAUGAAAUCCCUCGGGAUGUAAACUUCGCAAGAUUAGGGAAGAAUUAGUAGGGGUUAAUACCCUCUAUGAUGACGUACCUUUUGUAAGCUCCGGCUAACUCCGUGCCAGCAGCCGCCGC